GACCCUGCAGACCUCGCGAGCCAGCCUGGGCUAGGCAUGACUUCGGGGGCUCCCGGAAGAGCCUUCCUUUACGUCCUCUCCUGUCGUCGGUGCCCCUCCGCUGGGCGGGGCGGGAUUCGGCCUCAGGUGGUCCCAGGCACGACACAGAGUGCAAGACACCGGACAUUGUUUUAGAAGAUGGCGAAGUUUAUGACACCUGUGAUCCAGGACAACCCCUCAGGCUGGGGUCCCUGUGCCGUUCCUGAGCAGUUUCGGGAUAUGCCCUACCAGCCAUUCAGCAAAGGAGAUCGGCUGGGGAAGGUUGCAGACUGGACAGGGGCCACGUACCAGGACAAGAGGUACACAAACAAGUAUUCCUCUCAGUUCGGUGGGGGAAGUCAGUAUGCAUAUUUCCACGAGGAGGAUGAGACGAGCUUCCAGCUAGUGGACACAGCGCGUACACAGAAGACGGCCUACCA
RNAcentral lists this long non-coding RNA (458 nucleotides) under Rattus norvegicus (Norway rat). RNAcentral describes it as "long non-coding RNA NONRATT027087". Lineage: Eukaryota; Metazoa; Chordata; Mammalia; Rodentia; Muridae. The record is from RNAcentral.